UAACUGUAGGUGAACCUGCAGUUGGAUCAUUGCAAGGCACUGGAACCGGGGAUACGGUUGGGGUUGCUUGUGCUUGGGGGUGGCCUCGCAAGAGGCCCUUCGAACGAGCCUGGCGGCUGCUUGACCCACCCGGUGCUCGGCGUUCGCGCCCUGUGCUUUGGUGGCUGAGCAAUGCACGAGCCGGGCAAGUCGGAGCCCAGGGAAACGCGGUGGCAGUAUCCCUGCCACGCCAGCGGACCCGAAUGGCGCUUCCCGCACUCCACACAACUGGCCACGAUCGAUGUCUCGGCUCGA
RNAcentral lists this unclassified non-coding RNA (294 nucleotides) under soil metagenome. RNAcentral describes it as "partial internal transcribed spacer 1". The record is from RNAcentral.